Molecule: ribosomal RNA, 500 nt
Filed under: uncultured bacterium
Lineage: Bacteria
Description: bacterial SSU rRNA
Rfam family: Bacterial small subunit ribosomal RNA
Source: RNAcentral
GAUGAACGCUAGCUACAGGCUUAACACAUGCAAGUCGAGGGGCAGCGCAGUGUAGCAAUACAUGGGCGGCGACCGGCGCACGGGUGCGUAACGCGUAUCCAACCUUCCCGUUACUCAGGGAUAGCCUUCCGAAAGGGAGAUUAAUACAAGAUGGUGUUUCACUUUCGCAUGUUAUUGAACUAAAGAUUUAUCGGUAUCGGAUGGGGAUGCGUGACAUUAGAUAGUAGGCGGGGUAACGGCCCACCUAGUCUACGAUGUCUAGGGGUUCUGAGAGGAAGGUCCCCCCACACUGGAACUGAGACACGGUCCAGACUCCUACGGGAGGCAGCAGUGAGGAAUAUUGGUCAAUGGUCGGAAGACUGAACCAGCCAAGUAGCGUGAAGGAUGAAGGUUCUAUGGAUUGUAAACUUCUUUUAUAUAGGAAUAAAACCUCCCACGUGUGGGAGCUUGUAUGUACUAUAUGAAUAAGCAUCGGCUAAACUCCGUGCCAGCAGCCGCGG